This 520-nucleotide ribosomal RNA is filed under the name uncultured bacterium. RNAcentral describes it as "bacterial SSU rRNA". It matches the Rfam family "Bacterial small subunit ribosomal RNA", at positions 8 to 541 of the family's 1533-position model. The record is from RNAcentral.
AGAGUUUGAUCCUGGCUCAGGAUGAACGCUGGCGGCGUGCUUAACACAUGCAAGUCGAACGAUGAACCUCACUUGUGGGGGGAUUAGUGGCGAACGGGUGAGUAACACGUGAGUAACCUGCCCUUAACUCUGGGAUAAGCCUGGGAAACUGGGUCUAAUACCGGAUAUGACUCCUCAUCGCAUGGUGGGGGGUGGAAAGCUUUAUUGUGGUUUUGGAUGGACUCGCGGCCUAUCAGCUUGUUGGUGAGGUAAUGGCUCACCAAGGCGACGACGGGUAGCCGGCCUGAGAGGGUGACCGGCCACACUGGGACUGAGACACGGCCCAGACUCCUACGGGAGGCAGCAGUGGGGAAUAUUGCACAAUGGGCGCAAGCCUGAUGCAGCGACGCCGCGUGAGGGAUGACGGCCUUCGGGUUGUAAACCUCUUUCGGUAGGGAAGAAGCGAAAGUGACGGUACCUGCAGAAGAAGCGCCGGCUAACUACGUGCCAGCAGCCGCGGUAAUACGUAGGGCGCAAGCGU